GCACAAGCGGUGGAUGAUGUGUUUAAUCGAUGCAACGCGAAAACCUUACCCACCUUUGACAUGGCAGGAAUCCCGAAGAGAUUUGGGAGUGCUCGAAAGAGAACCUGCACACAGGUGCUGCAUGGCUGUCGUCAGCUCGUGUCGUGAGAUGUUGGGUUAAGUCCCGCAACGAGCGCAACCCUUGCCAUUAGUUGCUACGAAAGGGCACUCUAAUGGGACUGCCGGUGACAAACCGGAGGAAGGUGGGAUGACGUCAAAUCAUCAUGCCCCUUAUGUCUUGGGCUUCACGCAUGCUACAAUGGCCGGUACAAAGGGCUGCGAUACCGCGAGGUGGAGCGAAUCCCAGAAAGCCGGUCUCAGUUCGGAUUGGGGUCUGCAACUCGACCCCAUGAAGUCGGAGUCGCUAGUAAUCGCAGAUCAGCAACGCUGCGGUGAAUACGUUCCCGGGCCUU
RNAcentral lists this ribosomal RNA (452 nucleotides) under uncultured Allobrachymonas sp. Its description in RNAcentral is "bacterial SSU rRNA". It matches the Rfam family "Bacterial small subunit ribosomal RNA", at positions 923 to 1382 of the family's 1533-position model. The record is from RNAcentral. Lineage: Bacteria; Pseudomonadati; Pseudomonadota; Betaproteobacteria; Burkholderiales; Comamonadaceae.